Molecule: ribosomal RNA, 379 nt
Filed under: uncultured bacterium
Lineage: Bacteria
Description: bacterial SSU rRNA
Rfam family: Bacterial small subunit ribosomal RNA
Source: RNAcentral
UAAGACAGAGGGUGCAAACGUUGUUCGGAAUCACUGGGCAUAAAGCGCACGUAGGCGGUCUGCUAAGUCGGGUGUGAAAUCCCUCGGCUCAACCGAGGAAUUGCACCCGAUACUGGCAGGCUCGAGGGUGGUAGGGGUGAGUGGAACUCCAGGUGGAGCGGUGAAAUGCGUAGAUAUCUGGAGGAACACCGGUGGCGAAAGCGGCUCACUGGACCACAUCUGACGCUGAGGUGCGAAAGCUAGGGUAGCAAACGGGAUUAGAUACCCCGGUAGUCCUAGCCGUAAACGAUGGGCACUGGGCAGGGGGAGCUUCCUAUGGUUCUCUCUGCCGUAGCAAAUGUGUUAAGUGCCCCGCCUGGGGAGUACGCUCGCAAGGGUA